Carassius auratus (goldfish) is the source of this 5762-nucleotide long non-coding RNA. RefSeq lists it as uncharacterized. NCBI's taxonomy places the organism in Eukaryota, Metazoa, Chordata, Actinopteri, Cypriniformes, Cyprinidae. The record is from RefSeq and is a predicted model, not a curated record. The transcript has 3 exons.
UUGACUCUAGGAACUUAAGAUGAUCGGUGCUUUCGAAGGUGCCCCCCAUAGUGCUUCUGCUUAAUCUUUACUAUAAUCUGCUUUCUAAUCCAGUUUACAGGAAAGAAAUGUGCUGUGUCCCAAUGUGACUACUUAUACUACACCCUUAAAUUCUGAUGGACUCUAUGCACGCGUGGUCACAUGUGAUCACAUGUCGAUGUUUACACAAAGGCGGGGGUUAAAUAGAGGACGAGGCUAGUGACCAUGGAUGAAGAGAGUAUUGGCUGCUAAGGCGGUUGGAAACAACUGGAAACAACUGGACUUGGGAUGGACAGGAGUAUGCAGAGGGAAGUGACAAAAAUACAGUUGACAAAAAUGCUAAAUAAGGAAAUUGGUGAAAUAAAGAGUGCUAAAAUUCUUAGAAAUGGAUCAUUGUUGAUUAUUUGCAAGGAUGCAAAACAUCAAGGGAAAGUAAUGAGAAUGAACAAGAUAAAUGGAAAGAGAGUGGAAUGUUCUACGGCUUAUGGCAAGAAAUUCACAGGGGUUUUCACAGGAAUCCCAGAAAACAAAUCAGUAGAAGAUUGAAAAAAAAAAAAAAACAAAUGUAAGUGAAGUCAAACGUCUACAAGUAAAUAGGAAUGGAAGUGUAAGUGAUAGUACCUCGGUUGUGGUCACUUUUGAUGAGGAAGUUCUCCCUGGAAAGAUAUAUAUUGGAUACAUGUGUUAAAAUGUGAGGCUAUACAUACAUCCUCCUUAGAUGUUUCAAAUGUCAGACAUUUGGAAAUGUGGCAGCGGUGUGCAAAGGAAAGCAAUGAUGUGGUAAAUAUAGUGGAAACCACAAGCGUGACAAAUGUGAUGUGGGUGCAAACCUGAAAUUUUGUAAUUGUGGAGGGGAACAAAGCUCAGCGUAUUGUGGCUGUGAAGUUAAUAGAGCCAGGCUCAAGUACAAAGAAUCGAGGUGGUUCAGGGAAUCAGCUAUGAAGAGGCAGCAAAGAAGGUUUCAGGAAAUAUGAGAAUGACAAAACAAAGUGGAAAUAUGUACAAAGAAAUAGGAAAAUGUCAAGGAUAUGAUAAAUUGAAAGAAGAGUCUCUGAAAGUGAAAAAUAACGAUUUUGUACUGUUUAUAGCAGAAAUAAUAAAUUGUUCGGCACAGAUGAAAAGACGUAUGAAAGGAUCAAAAUAAUUGUCAAAUCAGCAGAGAAGUAUGUAGAUGUAAAGAGUUGCACUGGGAAACAGUUAGAGAUGCCCUCAAUGAAAAAACACAAUCCUCUCAGACAUGGGCUGGAUCUACAAUGGUGUUGAUCAUUAUACAUUGGAUUGCAAGGAGCCUAAUUGCGAACGGUCAAGAGUUUAAUAAGUUUAUUGAUGAUUUGGUAGAAAAACCUAAUGUAAUAUAUAUACAGGAGACAUGGAUAAAACCACAAUUAGAUUUUAUUAUAAAGGGAUAUAAUGUUGUUACAACAGACAGAGAACCUGGCAGAGUAGGGGGAGUAGCAACAUUUAUUCAAAGUGGUAUGAAAUAUCAAAUUAGGAAUCGUUUAGUAGUAAGAUAUGGACUGAAAGAGGUUGUAUGGAUAUUGUUAAUAAUCCAUGUGAAAAAUUGAAUCCAAGCAUUUUAGAAGAUGUAGUGGGACCACAACAAAUCAACAGAGCAUGGUGUGGGGAUUUUAAUUCACAUAAUUCAUUCUGGGGGAGUAAUGAUACUGAUGCAAAUGGCCUAAUUAUUGAAGAAUUUAUUGAUGUGAAAUAUUUAGUAUGUAUUAAUAAUAGAGAAGGAACAAGAUAUAAUAACAAUCAUUAUACAGAAGCAAUACUUGACCUGACAUUUAUAUCUAGUUCAAUAGCAGGGAUCAGCAAAUGAAGUGUGUCCAAAGAUAAUACUGCGGGGGGUGACCAUUACCCCAUAGUGACUAAAGUUGGCAUAAAAAUUUAUUUUGAAAUGGAAAUUCUAGAUGGAAACUAGAGAAUGCAAAUUGUUCAGUCAGCUGAGGAAACAAUACAUGAAAGCACAUGAGUUAAAUGUUCCAAGAGUGCACCCUGGUGGAAUAUCAAGUGCAAAGAAGCUAAAAAAGCAAGAAAUAAAGCAUUUAGGCAUCUCAGAAAACAUAAUUCUCAAGAGGCUUUGAUCCAAUAUAAAAGGGCCCAAGCAAUAGUAAGCAAUUAAAAUACAAAAACUUACAUUUUGGAGACAAUAUUGCAGAAGUAUUAGAAGAGAAGAACAACUAUCACAUGUAUUGGGCCUGAUCAGAAGAAUUGGGAGAGGGGUCAGAAGAAAUUAUGAAUUACAAGAGAUAAUCUCUCAGUUGAGGCCAGACAGAGUAGGAAUAAAGUCCUUCUAGCUACAGACCAAUUGCCUUGACUUCACAUUAAUGCAAAAUCAUGGAACUAAUUAUCACAGAAAGAAUUACAUACUUCCUGGAAAUUAAAACUCUUUUACCCCAUAUCAGAGUGGGAUUUGUAGGGGUCAGAAUACAAUGGAUUCUGUAUUGUGCCUAGAGUCAGACAUAAAGAAAAGCACAGACCAACAAAAUAGUAAUAGCAGUUCAUUAUUAUUCAAAAUUAUAUAAAUCUUUGUACGCAGAUGACGGGGCUUUGUGGAUUAGAGGCCCCAAUAUAUCAUAUAUCAAUAAGGGACUGCAAGCAGCAACUGAUGAAGUGGAAAAGUGGACCAGUAAAUGGGGAUUUAAAUUAUUUGUAGAAAGAAAGAAAAAAAUCACAGUUUAUUUGUUUUUCAAGACUGCACAAAAUCUCAUCUCUUUCUUUGAAUCUGUAUGUUCAACAACUUGAGCAAGUCAAAUCCUCAAGGUUUCUUAGGGUUUGGUUUGAUGAAAAAUUUACAUGGAAAGUUCAUCUGAAUACAAUAAAGGACAAAGAGAAAAAGUUCAUCAACAUACUUCGGUGUGUGUUCACGGUGUGUUCACUUCUCACUGCUGUCUGUGUGUUCUUGGAUGGGUUAAAUGCAGAGCACCAACUCUGAGUAUGGGUUACCAAGCUUACCAUACUUGGCAAACGUCACAACUUUCACUUUUUUUUUUUUUACUUUCACUAAAGCAAGAAAUAUAGGAUUACAUCAUUUUACAGUACAAUAAUACAGUAUCAGUUCCCUCUAUUCCUCCCUGGUUAUUCCCCUUGCCAACUGAUGACCUUGGUAUACAACAGGAACUGAAAGACAAUUAUAAUCAACUUCUGAUAUAGUAUAUAGUCCAGAAUUAUUUUGACCAAAAUUUCCCACAGUCAAUGGUUUUAUUUACAGAUGGAUCCAAAGAUCAACAGUAUACAUUCCAACGUGUGAAUUUUAUAUUAAGAAAAUAGUAACUAUUUGUCAGUAUAUGAUACAGAGCGAUUGGCAAUAUUAUUGGCUCUACAGUAGACAGAAGAGAAAGAAAUAAAUAACACUGUCAUUGCAUCUGAUAGCACUUCUGGCAGGUAAUCAGUUAGGAUGGAUAUUAUUAAUGAAAUAUUCUACAAGAUGCACGAAAUUAAAGUUCAGGGUAAGUCUACACAAUUAAUUUGGGUUCCUGCUCAUGUUGGAGUGGAGGGAAAUGAGAAGGUGGAUAUUCUGGCUAAACAAACUCUAAGAAUAAAGCAAAUAGAUCUACAUAUUCCAUUAAGUAUAAAGCAGAAGCUAAAUUACACAUUAGAACAUAUACACAAUCAGUAUGGCAGAUAUAUUGAGAUGAUCAUGAAACAGGUAGACAUUUUGUAAAAUACAAAAAAACAAUUGAUGUUGGGAGAAAGAAGAGUAGGAAUCAAAGAGAAGGAAAUAUCAUUACACGUUUUAGAAUUGGGCAUACUGGACCUAAUGACAAUUGUGAAUCAUGUAUGUGUGUGUGUAUAUAUAUAUAUAUAUAUAUAAUAUGGCCCUUUCCCCCCUCUCCCCCAUCAAAUAUAUAGCAUAAAUCUUGAGCCACAAGAUAGGUAAUGUACCUAUAAACCUAUAAGCUGGUUUGCCAACCGCCAAUAAAACACUAAAGGUUUUUAGAGUCUCUGGUGUGCACGGAUACACAGUCCAAAAAUCCACCUGAAAAAGUAGAUCAUCUGGGGACUUCUGGCAUACUAUUUUCAACAUACUAUGCUUUUGGAAACACUAAUUUUUAGCUCACAUAUUUUUAGGAUGGAUAGGAUGAACAUUAGGACACAGGGUUGGAUUCCUGGACAGGUUCAUUCAGGCAGCUGGCAUAUGAUUAACCUCUCCUCUACAUGGAGUAGAGCACACAGCCACUGCCAGCCAGAGAUUAAACCCAUAAAAUAGAACCCUAUGACUGAACCUGCACAAGUCAUGUGAUCUGUGAGUAGAACCCGCUGCCAGCCAGCGCAAGUUUGAACUAACGUUGUAGGUGGGAGGGAGUGAUGAACAGCACUCUCUUCCACCCUCAAUACCCAUGGCCAAAGUGAACCCCCAGUUGCUCCCCGAGGACUGAAUAUAGCUGUCCACUUCUCAUUGCUGUGUGUGUGCGCACUUGGAUGGGUUAAAUGCAGAGCACCAAUUCAGAGUAUGGCUAGUUGGCAAAUGUCAUGACUUUCACUGUGACAAUAUAGUGUGCCAAGCAACCAAAAGGCUUUCAUCACACACAAUUUAAGUAUAUGAAAACUCACAAUUUUCUAAAAAAAGUAGCUCAGGGUUGUAUCAUCACCACCAUCCACUAUUAAUACCUGCUGAACAUCCUGUAAUACCCUACUCAGAAACUCACCAUGCUUGAAGUGAAGGUGAUGCAAAGACGGUUUAGUGUGCUAAUUUACGACUAGCUUGAUGACUGCUAAGAGGUCACACACAAGCCGCCUUUUCCAACAUACUGGAUUACACUGGAGAAGAGCCAUUAGUCUUGCAGCUAUUAUAAACUUUCAGUUCCAUUCAUGCCUCUUAAAUGUUAACAGAUCACCUACAACCUAUGGAUAGAAAGCACAAGCUUGAAGACAUUUUUGCCUUCAAUUUCUUUCAUGGGAUUCCUCUACUGCAGGGUUAUUCAAAUCUUGUCCUGGAGGGCCAAUGCACUGCAGAGUUUAGCUCUAACCCUAAUCAAACACACAGGAGUAUGCUACUUAGUGUCUUCAGGAACAUUAGAAAAUCACAGGUGAGUGAGUUUGAUCAAGGUUGAAGCUAAACUCUGCAGCACAUUGGCCCUCUAGGACAAGAUUUUAAUAACCCUGCUCUUCUGGCUUUAAACUCAACUUGAUUCACAAACAUUUGAAUCUUCAGUCUGCAAGGACUCGAACAAGGAAGAUCUAAAUCAGCAAAAAUGCAGAUGCACAUGAAUUCAUACAAAUUUUGAGGAGAAUCAAGUAUACAGAAACAUGUAUGGGUCCAAAACAUAAGUCUUGUGGGACUGGAUUACAUUGAGGGGCACAAGUGUUCCCUCAGCUGUCCUUGGCUCAGACUCAAGCAUAACUCUGGAAGGCCAACAGGAUAUGAGGUUACAUCUUCUAAAUAAAAAAAUGCUGCCUGACACCAAGGGACAUGCUUAAAAAGGCAUGAUAGACAUCUAGCAUCUAAAUAAACAUGAAGACACUUCCAAGGUGACAACUCUCUGCUUUGCAGUUUUAUUUGAUCAGACUAUAACUGAUAAACUGACUGUUUCCAAUUGUCCUCUGGUCUUCUCGGCAUACUUUUUUUUUUCUGCUUAACACUGUAAAGCUGUCUUGACGCAGUCUGUAUUGUAUAAAUAGCUAUAUAAAGGUUCCUUGAUUUGUUUUAAUAACAUGGAAAAAAUGGGCCUACUACCCUGACUGCCUUAAGAAAAUCACAUUCAUUUCUGACAAUUUAAGCUGCAAAAAAAAAAAAAAAA